Molecule: long non-coding RNA, 666 nt
Organism: Gopherus flavomarginatus (Mexican gopher tortoise)
Lineage: Eukaryota; Metazoa; Chordata; Testudines; Testudinidae
Exons: 3
Source: RefSeq, a predicted model, not a curated record
UGAAUUGAGGGGAGCUUUUCAUUGAUCUGUCUACAGCAACAUGCAGAUCCCGUUCUUGGGUUGAGUAGCCGAUAAUCUGUUCUGCUGCCGUCGCUAGGUGUAAUGCAUGUUCAGUAGGGGUUUCUCCCCUCUUCCCUUUUUGUAUUUCCUCUCCCUACUAGUGUUGGGGUGUCCUUCUCCUCAGAGUGUCAGUCCUACUGAGCCUCAGGCCAUGGUCUCCAAGGUUUUGGAAAUGUACCGACCUGUCCUGGACAUGGUCCCUGCCAGCUCAUGUGACGCUGGCUUUGCUGAGCCUGCUGCUGGGGAAGAGGAAAACUUUGUCUCUCAGCUGGAUGUUCCCUUCAGGUGCCCAGUCUUUAGUGUGGCUCGAAUGUCCAUGGAUCAGGGUUCACUGACCCAAGAGAUGGCUUUAAAAAAUAUGAACAUUUUCACAAACACACUGACUUUCUCAAUUUUCUAUUUCUUGGUAACAUUUCAUGGAUCUUUUGGAGUUGAAUCGGUAAAAAAAUACAGGAAAUCAGGGUGUUACCAAAAGGAUAUAAUAUAAAGUUUGCAGUUAAAGGUAUAGAAAGGAGCUGAAAAGGCAGCUGCAGACUUUAAGACUGUUUCUUUAAGCAAGAGGGGGCAAUCAAUGUGACCCCAAAAACCUUGGGACUCAUAAUCUGA